RNAcentral lists this long non-coding RNA (1668 nucleotides) under Macaca fascicularis (crab-eating macaque). RNAcentral describes it as "lncRNA (ENSMFAG00000056352.1)". Lineage: Eukaryota; Metazoa; Chordata; Mammalia; Primates; Cercopithecidae. The record is from RNAcentral.
UUUUUUUUUUUUUAAAGACGGAAUCUCACUCUGUUGCCCAGGCUGGAGUGCAAUGGCAUGAUCUCAGCUCACUGCAACCUCUGCCUUCCAGGUUAAAGCGAUUCUCCUGCCUCAGCCUCCUGAGUAGCUAGAAUUACAGGUGCGUGCCACCAUGGUUAAUUUUUGUAUUUUUAGUAGAGAUGGGGUUUCACCAUGUUGAUCAGGCUGGUCUCAAACUCCUGACCUUGUGAAUCCGCCUGCCUCAGCCUCCCAAAGUGCUGGGAUUACGGGCGUGAACACUGCGCCUGGCCCCAAAACAGCUUAUCUUCAAGCAUGAGAGUGGAGGGAGAGGAACUGGGGAGGCAGGUGGCACUCAGGUCACAAAGCUUAGGAGACAAAUGUUAAUGGGUUUUUUGAAAUUAGUUCAGGAUGCAGGACAAUUCUUUGUUGUGGGUGACUGCCUCACACACUGCAGGUCACCUGAGUCCCUGGCCUCACAUAAGUAUUAACAGUGUCCCCCAACCAUUAUGACAACCACAUAUGCCCCUCACAUGUCCACAGAGCUUCCUGUGGGUGGUGGCCCCUGGGUGUGGAGUGCCACUUCCCCCAUCCCUGCUGAGACCCACCAGCUCAGAAGAAGCCUGCAGGAGCUGGAGGAUGAGACUGCAGUCCUGGAGCAGGAUUCCAGGUGAGGAAUCUAGCAUAAAGUCGAAUCUGAGCAGUUUGGACUUGAAGGAACUUGUUUAUCCCAGAACCUAAGACUCAGAGAAACAGCCUGGAAUUGAACACUGAAAUUCCUCCCGCAGCGUGCCAGUGUGGAGAGGCGGAACCCUAUGAGGUCAGUGGCCACAGGCACCUCUCUCCCUGCCAGGGGAGUGGCACCUGGCCUAGUGGCCUGAUGGGCCCCGUGGUAGUCUCUGAUUCUCUGAGGUUGGGAUGUGACAGGCAGUCUGUGAGCUAUGUGUUAUCCUUGAAGAGCAACUGCUCCUAGGUGCAAUGAAUCUUAGUAAAGGUUAAGAGUUAAAUGUAGCGGCCAGGCACCAUGGCUCAUGCCUGUAAUCCCAGCAAUUUGGGAGGCCGAGGCAGGUGGAUCACCUGAAGUCAGGAGUUCAAAAUCAGCCUGGCCAACAUGAUGAAAUCCUGCCUCUACCAAAAAUACAAAAAAUUAGCUGGGCGUGGUGAUGGGCAUCUGUAAUCCCAGCUACUUGGGAGGUUGAGACAGGAGAAUCUCUGGAGCCCAGAAGGCAGAGCUUGCAGUGAACUGAGAUCGCGCCACUGCACUCCAGCCUGGAUGACAAGGGCAAAACUCCAUCUCAAAAAAAAAAAAAAAGUAGUAAACGUAGCAGCAUGAUUCACAAGAGCCAAAACAUGAGCACAACCCAAAUGUCCAUCUAUAGAUGAAUGGAUAAACAAAAUAUGGUGUAUACAAACAAUGGAAUGCAAUUCAGCCCUAAGUAGGAAGGCAAUUCUGACUCAUACUACAACAUGGAUGAACCCUGAGGACGUUAUGCACAGUGAAAUAAGCCAGUCACCAAAGGACAAAUAGUGUGUGAUUCACUCAAGUGAGGUCCAUGGAAUCAUCAUGCUCUUAGAGACAGAAUAGUGGUUGCCAGGGGCUUGGGGAGGGAGGGAAUGGGGAGUUAGUGUUUAACGGGUACAGAGUUUCAGCUGGAGACAUGAAAAAGUUCC